Molecule: ribosomal RNA, 365 nt
Filed under: uncultured eukaryote
Lineage: Eukaryota
Description: partial 18S ribosomal RNA
Rfam family: Eukaryotic small subunit ribosomal RNA
Source: RNAcentral
CAAUAGCGUAUAUUUAAGUUGUUGCAGUUAAAAAGCUCGUAGUCGGAUUUUGGCUGAGAACGAUCGGUCCGCCGUUAGGUGUGCACUGAUUGGUCUCAGCUUCCUGGUGAGGAGGUGUGCUUCACGGCCACUUAGUCACCGUGGUUACUUUGAAAAAAUUAGAGUGUUCAAAGCGGGCUUACGCUUGAAUAUAUUAGCAUGGAAUAACACCAUAGGACUCCUGUCCUAUUUCGUUGGUCUCGGGACGGGAGUAAUGAUUAAGAGGAACAGUUGGGGGCAUUCGUACUUCAUUGUCAGAGGUGAAAUUCUUGGAUUUAUGAAAGACGAACUUCUGCGAAAGCAUUUGCCAAGGAUGUUUUCAUUGA